GACGAACGCUGGCGGCGUGCUUAACACAUGCAAGUCGAACGGGACGGCCCGGCUUUGUGGGGGAGCGCUAGUUGCGAACGGGUGAGUAACACUUAAGUAACCUGCCCUUGACUGUGGGGUGACUUCAUGAAACUUGGUGUAAUACCGGAUAGGAGCUCCUGCUUCAGGGUGGGGGUUGGAAGGUUUCGGCGGUUGGUGGUGGACUGGCGUCUUAUGGGCUUGUUGGUUGGGUAGUGGCUGACCAUGGCUUGGACGCGUAGCAGGGCUGAGCGGGUGACCGGCUCAACUGGAAUUGAGAUACGGCCCAGACCCCUACGGGAGGGAGCACUGCGGAAUAGUGCAUAAUGGGCGGAACGAUGAUCCAGCCAAGCAGCGUGCGGGAUGACGGCAAUCGGUUUGUAAACCGAUUCCGCCUGUGACGAAGUGUGAGUGACGGUAACGGGUAAAGAAGCACCGGCUAACUCCGUG
RNAcentral lists this ribosomal RNA (468 nucleotides) under uncultured bacterium. Its description in RNAcentral is "partial 16S ribosomal RNA". It matches the Rfam family "Bacterial small subunit ribosomal RNA", at positions 28 to 507 of the family's 1533-position model. The record is from RNAcentral.